GAUGUACGCUGGCGGCGUGCCUAAUACAUGCAAGUCGAGCGAACGGACGAGAAGCUUGCUUCUCUGAUGUUAGCGGCGGACGGGUGAGUAACACGUGGAUAACCUACCUAUAAGACUGGGAUAACUUCGGGAAACCGGAGCUAAUACCGGAUAAUAUUUUGAACCGCAUGGUUCAAAAGUGAAAGACGGUCUUGCUGUCACUUAUAGAUGGAUCCGCGCUGCAUUAGCUAGUUGGUAAGGUAACGGCUUACCAAGGCAACGAUGCAUAGCCGACCUGAGAGGGUGAUCGGCCACACUGGAACUGAGACACGGUCCAGACUCCUACGGGAGGCAGCAGUAGGGAAUCUUCCGCAAAGGGCGAAAGCCUGACGGAGCAACGCCGCGUGAGUGAUGAAGGUCUUCGGAUCGUAAAACUCUGUUAUUAGGGAAGAACAUAUGUGUAAGUAACUGUGCACAUCUUGACGGUACCUAAUCAGAAAGCCACGGCUAACUACGUG
RNAcentral lists this ribosomal RNA (497 nucleotides) under uncultured bacterium. RNAcentral's name for it is "partial 16S ribosomal RNA". It matches the Rfam family "Bacterial small subunit ribosomal RNA", at positions 28 to 507 of the family's 1533-position model. The record is from RNAcentral.